This 1454-nucleotide ribosomal RNA is filed under the name metagenome. RNAcentral's name for it is "bacterial SSU rRNA". It matches the Rfam family "Bacterial small subunit ribosomal RNA". The record is from RNAcentral.
AGAGUUUGAUCGUGGCUCAGGAUGAACGCUAGCGGCGCGCUUAAUGCAUGCAAGUCGAGCGAUGAGGCCCCUUCGGGGGCACAUCAGCGGCAGACGGGUGAGUAACACGUGGAUGACCUGCCCCGAAGACGAGGAUAACGGAUGGAAACAUCCGCUAAUACUCGAUGGUCUUGUACUGUCGCAGGUACAAGUAAAGCUCCGGUGCUUCGGGAGGGGUCUGCGGCCUAUCAGCUAGUUGGUGAGGUAACGGCCCACCAAGGCGACGACGGGUAGGGGGUGUGAGAGCACGGCCCCCCACAAUGGGACUGAGACACGGCCCAUACUCCUACGGGAGGCAGCAGCAGGGAAUAUUGCACAAUGGACGGAAGUCUGAUGCAGCGACGCCGCGUGGAUGAUGAAGGCCUUCGGGUUGUAAAAUCCUUUUCAGGGGGACGAGGGAGGACGGUACCCUUGGAAUAAGCGUCGGCUAACUACGUGCCAGCAGCCGCGGUAAGACGUAGGACGCGAGCGUUAUCCGGAUUUACUGGGCGUAAAGCGUCUGUAGGCGGAAUGGUAAGUUGGGCGUGAAAGCUCCGGGCUUAACCCGGAGAGGACGUUCAAUACUGCCAAACUAGAGGGCAUCAGAGGAGCGUGGAAUUUCCGGUGUAGCGGUAAAAUGCGCAGAUAUCGGAAGGAACACCAAUGGCGAAGGCAGCGCUCUGGGAUGCACCUGACGCUAAGAGACGAAAGCUAGGGGAGCGAACAGGAUUAGAGACCCUGGUAGUCCUAGCCCUAAACGAUGGAUGCUAGGUGUAGGGCCGCAAGGUUCUGUGCCGGAGCAAACGCGAUAAGCAUCCCGCCUGGGGAAUACGGCCGCAAGGCUAAAACUCAAACGAAUUGACGGGGCCCCGCACAAGCAGCGGAGCGUGUGGUUUAAUUCGAUCUACACGAAGAACCUUACCUGGGUUUGACAUACGAGUGGUAAUGAGGCGAAAGCCAAGUGACCCUUCGGGGAGCUUGUACAGGUGCUGCAUGGCUGUCGUCAGCUCGUGCCGUGAGGUGUCGGGUUAAGUCCCGUAACGAGCGCAACCCUUACCCUUAGUUACAAGUGUCUAAGGGGACUGCCGGCGGUAAGCCGGAGGAAGGUGGGGAUGACGUCAAGUCAGCAUGGCCCAUAUGUCCAGGGCUACACACACGCUACAAUGGUUGGUACAAAGGGCAGCGAAACCGCGAGGCGGAGCGAAUCCCAACAAAGCCAAUCUUAGUUCGAAUUGCAGGCUGCAACUCGCUUGCAUGAAGCUGGAGUUGCUAGUAACCGCGCGUCAGCUAUAGUGCGGUGAAUACGUUCCCGGGGCUUGUACACACCGCCCGUCACGUCAUGGAAGUUGGUAACGCCUGAAGCUGGUAGCCUAGCGCGCAAGUGGGGGCGCCAUCGAAGGCGGGGCUAGCAACUGGGACGAAGUCGUAACAAGGUA